Molecule: non-coding RNA, 4253 nt
Organism: Xyrichtys novacula (pearly razorfish)
Lineage: Eukaryota; Metazoa; Chordata; Actinopteri; Labriformes; Labridae
Source: the annotation of a GenBank genome assembly
AUGGGAAAGGAUAAGACCCACAUCAACAUCGUGGUCAUCGGCCAUGUCGACUCCGGCAAGUCCACCACCACCGGCCACCUGAUCUACAAGUGCGGAGGAAUCGACAAGAGAACCAUCGAGAAGUUCGAGAAGGAAGCUGCUGAGGUUAGUCACAGUGUCGCAACAGGUCUCGGUUAACACUUUGGACAAAUAUUCUCAUUUGCAUCGGCAGCUUUGUGACACAAAGAGGCCCUGCAUCACUCAGCCCCUGAAGUAACAGGUUCUGACAAAGGGUGUGGCGGCUGUAACUGUUCCCAAUUUUUGCUUUCUAACUACUGCCACCUGCUGUUCAAACAUGUGUGCAACCACCAUCAAAGAUAUGCUACAGCAUGGUGUUUGGUGAUUUUUACUUCCUUUUUAACAAAAAAAGAGCAGAACAAAAUAGACCCCUGCUUAUUCAUUAAGUAAAUCGAUACUUCCUGAUUGUUGAGUGUUUUGUGGUAUAAAAAACUAUUACAUGUACAAAAUAUAAUCAGUACCAGACUUGUAUUCAUGUUUAAAGUUUGUGAUUCUUAUGCUUUCAUUUUUAAAUUAGUUUGUAUAAAGCUUAACUUUCUUUAUCACCAUAGAUGGGUAAGGGCUCCUUCAAGUACGCCUGGGUGCUGGACAAACUGAAGGCCGAGCGUGAGCGUGGUAUCACCAUCGAUAUCGCUCUGUGGAAGUUUGAGAGCAGUAAGUACUACGUGACCAUCAUUGACGCCCCUGGACACAGAGACUUCAUCAAGAACAUGAUCACUGGAACCUCUCAGGUAGGACAUGCCUGCUGUUGUGUCUGCUCGCUACGAGCUUUUCACAUUAAAGUUUUGUUCUUUGUAACACGUGAGAAAAUUGAGAUUUUACUCUCAACCACAGCAGACAUAUCAACCUGAAGCUGAAUCCAAAUGAAUACCUAGUUUAGUGAGAAAAAGGACGAUAAAUGCUUCUUUUUAAUCCUUGUGAGCGCUUGUCUUUUUUCCGCUUCCUCUACAUCUACAGCCCGAUACAAGAUAUGUCAAUUAUGCCUGUGUCAUUAUUUUAAGUAUCAUGACAGAUAAUUCAUUACUAAGAUAAUCAGAGCAUUGUUAAGCAAAUAAAGGCAUGUAGUAUUAUAGUCUUACCAUCUAUUCAGCACCAACAGAAGAACAUGAUGUGACUGUUUCACUAGAUUUUACAAGUGUCACUGAUAGAGAAAAGGUUCCUAAUGAAGAGAAAGAAUAAAGUAGAUCUGAAGACCAAAUAUAGAAACAAAACCUAUUUAAACUGUGACAUAUGGAACAUUUCCUCCCUGUUUAGGCUGACUGCGCCGUGCUGAUUGUUGCUGCUGGUACUGGUGAGUUUGAAGCUGGUAUCUCCAAGAACGGUCAGACCCGUGAGCACGCCCUGCUGGCCUUCACCCUCGGUGUGAAGCAGCUCAUUAUUGGAGUCAACAAGAUGGACUCCACUGAGCCCCCGUACAGCCAGACCCGUUUUGACGAAAUCACCAAGGAAGUGAGCACCUACAUCAAGAAGAUCGGAUACAACCCCAAGACUGUUGCCUUUGUUCCCAUCUCUGGAUGGCACGGAGACAACAUGCUGGAGCCCAGUGACAAGGUGAGGCGAUUUUACCCCUCUCUUUGACGUACGCAGAGGAUUGAUAUGGAUGUGUUUUAAAACAUAAUUUAUAUUCGUGUGUAGAUGGCUUGGUUCAAGGGAUGGGAAAUUGAGCGCAAGGAGGGCAAUGCCAACGGGAAAACCCUACUGGAGGCUCUUGAUUCCAUCCUGCCCCCAAAACGCCCCACAGAAAAGCCCCUGCGUGUGCCAUUGCAGGACGUCUACAAAAUCGGAGGUAAGGAGUCAAGGAUUCAGCUUCACGAACAUCAUAUUACUUAACACACUGAGUAUGUGCAACAAGAUCAGGGUUCACGAUUUGAAAAAAAGUGACCAGACAAACAUGGAGGGGAUAACUCUCUCAGGAAGCUCCAGCUUUAGUGAGGCCACUCUGUUAUCAACCAGCCUGAUCCUCAUAGAGUUUUUGUAUUCAUCAAAACAAAGGUGAAAGUUGGCAGAGAUUUCCCCAGCCUCACUAGGCCUACCGACACGAUGUACAAGAGGACAAAUCCUGUAGCUACUCAAAGAAUGUACUAGAAACAGUUUUUGCUCACUCUCAGGUAUUGGAACUGUCCCCGUCGGCCGUGUUGAGACUGGUAUCCUGAAGCCCGGCAUGGUCGUCACCUUUGCUCCCCCCAUGCUGACCACUGAGGUGAAGUCUGUGGAGAUGCACCACGAGGCUCUGCCAGAAGCUCUGCCUGGUGACAACGUCGGGUUCAAUGUCAAGAACGUGUCCGUCAAGGAAAUCCGCCGUGGAAACGUGGCUGGGGACAGCAAGAACGACCCUCCCAAGGGAGUAGACAACUUCAUUGCCCAGGUGAGUCAAUAGGAAAGGACAAGGUGGAAACUUCAGCUUAAAAGUUAAAAAAACAUCAAUUCUCUUUUAUUAAAUGUUAUGAUGAGUAGAUCAGAGAAUGCAAAAGAAGUUAUGUUUUUGGAGGUCAUUUUGGGCCCAUACAGUGAUCUCCAUUGCAGAGUCUCAUCAGUUUUUUUGUCACCUGAGAGCCCGAAGAUUACAGUUUUGAAAACUGUCAUAUUUUCAAAUACGACAGCUGAGAUCACUCUCCCUAUUCUCGCCAUCACAUAACUCAGUAAUUUUCCCGGAUAUGUUUCAAUGUCCGAUUUUUUUACCUCUGCUCUUUGUUUCUCAUCCUCUCUCUUCCCUUGCAGGUCAUCAUCCUGAACCAUCCCGGACAGAUUCAUGCAGGUUACGCUCCUGUGCUUGACUGCCACACUGCUCACAUUGCCUGCAAGUUUCAGGAGCUCCUAGAAAAGGUGGACCGUCGCUCUGGCAAGAAGCUCGAGGACAACCCAAAAUGUGUCAAAUCUGGAGAUGCUGCCAUGAUUGUCUUGUCUCCCAGUAAACCCAUGGUUGUGGAGGCCUUCUCUGAAUAUGCUCCAUUAGGUGAGUGAAACUUACUUGAAUAAAACAUGCUUUGUGACUUUUUCGAAUGAAGAGACAUUUAUUGUUACACUGACUGACUCUCUUUCUCCCAGGUCGCUUUGCUGUGCGUGACAUGAAACAGACAGUGGCUGUCGGUGUCAUCAAGUCUGUUGUGAAGAAGGAACACGCUAGUGGAAAGACGACCAAGGCUGCAGAGAAGGCCCAGAAGAAGAAGUGAAUUUUCAUGCAGGAUGCCCACCGAAAGGUUGCAUCUCAGCAGCAGCAGCAGUUUGCCCCAUCCCCACAUCACCUUUACCGCCCAGCACAGUCUUUUCUGAAGCAGAGCUCUCUACUCAAGGACUGGCUUAUGCUGAUUAAAACUCAUCGGAAGAGUUUCCGCAGGAAAGGAAGGAUGGGGCUUUGUGGGGAAAACUAUGAUCAUGAUUAACUUCAAACCAAAACAAUAAAAAUCUUAAUAAAUUGCUGCCUAAGAUUGUGUUUCAUUACCUAACAGGGUCUCAUUGAUUUAAAACACCCAACAACACAAAUUAGUUAUGUUUGGUCAAACCAAACACUGUUAGGGUAAGGGCUGUCUGAGACUUGUGUCUGUCUUGGAGCUCACAGCUUCACUUCUAAAAACAGAGGAAACACAGAAGGCCUCUCACAGCCGCUGAACACAGAAAGCAUUUGGUAUUAAACUCGAAGGUUCUCUCAUACAUGCUACAUUAAGAAAUAGAAAAAAUGUACUGAUUCAAUGUGUUUUGAUGGAGCUCAUCACGAAUCGACACAACACUGCCCAGCAGAGGGCGCUCAUGUUACACAACAACAUACAAAACUUAGCACUUCCACUGAAAUGCUAAUGACGAGCAUUCACACUAUUAUAAAAGCUCAUUUUUGACGAGUAAAUGGGAUAAAUUAUGAAAAAGAAUGGUGCUUAUUGAAUUUAGCAUUUAAAAGGGACUAGACCAGACCUCAGCGUGAAGCAGAGAAGUCUUUUCUCACUCUGAUAGGAUUUAAUUUUCCGUAACUGUCUGUUCACUGUGUAUUCCCUUGCUUCUUACCCGGCUAACAACUGAAGUCAAACAUGAACUGAUACAAAACAUUGUCUCAAAGGGAUAUUCGGGCAUAGAAUUAAUUUUGGGUCAAACACAGCGUAACACCAAGUAAGACACCCCCUUCACCACCAACACACCACACCAACUUCAGUAAUGACCGCACGAUAGCAAUACACAGCGGUCUGAGGAGCCAUAAACAAACCUCGACC